AUCGUCUUUUGAAACACUCACAUAAAAGAUAAUGCCUGCCCAGUGAAAAUUUUUAAACGGCCGCGUUAGCGUGAGCGUGCUAAGGUAGCGUAAUAAAUAGCCUUUUAAUUGGAGGCCAGUGAAUGGCAAGACUAGGAAUACCUGUACCCUUUAUGAAAAAAAAACUUUUCAUCUGAGCGAAAAGACUCAGAUAGCGAAGGAAGACGAAAAGACCCCGCGGAACUUUACCUUUUCCAAUCUUAACUGCCCAUAAACACGAAAGACAAAAGGUUUGAUUGGGGCAAUCUCGGAACAAUCAAGCUUCCGAUUCUUCUUGAAUAGACAUCUAUAACCAGAUAAGGGCAAAAAAGAAGUUACCCCGGGGAUAACAGCGUAAUCCAGCUCAAGAGUACACAUCGAAAGCUGGGUUUGCGACCUCGAUGUUGGCUUAAGGACAUCCACAUUAGUGCAACCGCUAUGACAGGACAGUCUGUUCGACUAUUAUACCCUUACAU
Molecule: ribosomal RNA, 494 nt
Filed under: Pleuronaia barnesiana
Lineage: Eukaryota; Metazoa; Mollusca; Bivalvia; Unionida; Unionidae
Description: partial 16S large subunit ribosomal RNA
Rfam family: Bacterial large subunit ribosomal RNA
Source: RNAcentral